This 468-nucleotide ribosomal RNA is filed under the name uncultured bacterium. RNAcentral describes it as "partial 16S ribosomal RNA". It matches the Rfam family "Bacterial small subunit ribosomal RNA", at positions 28 to 507 of the family's 1533-position model. The record is from RNAcentral.
GACGAACGCUGGCGGCGUGCUUAACACAUGCAAGUCGAACGGAAAGGCCCUGCUUUUGUGGGGUGCUCGAGUGGCGAACGGGUGAGUAACACGUGAGUAACCUGCCCUUGACUUUGGGAUAACUUCAGGAAACUGGGGCUAAUACCGGAUAGGAGCUCCUGCUGCAUGGUGGGGGUUGGAAAGUUUCGGCGGUUGGGGAUGGACUCGCGGCUUAUCAGCUUGUUGGUGGGGUAGUGGCUUACCAAGGCUUUGACGGGUAGCCGGCCUGGGAGGGUGACCGGCCACAUUGGGACUGAGAUACGGCCCAGACUCCUACGGGAGGCAGCAGUGGGGAAUAUUGCACAAUGGGCGGAAGCCUGAUGCAGCAACGCCGCGUGCGGGAUGACGGCCUUCGGGUUGUAAACCGAUUUCGCCUGUGACGAAGCGUGAGUGACGGUAAUGGGUAAAGAAGCACCGGCUAACUACGUG